This 265-nucleotide ribosomal RNA is filed under the name uncultured Alphaproteobacteria bacterium. RNAcentral's name for it is "partial 16S ribosomal RNA". It matches the Rfam family "Bacterial small subunit ribosomal RNA", at positions 1141 to 1406 of the family's 1533-position model. The record is from RNAcentral. Lineage: Bacteria; Pseudomonadati; Pseudomonadota; Alphaproteobacteria.
UAGGGAGACUGCCGGUGAUAAGCCGGAGGAAGGUGGGGAUGACGUCAAGUCCUCAUGGCCCUUACAGGCUGGGCUACACACGUGCUACAAUGGCGGUGACAAUGGGAUGCGAAGGUGCGAGCCUUAGCAAAUCUCCAAAAGCCGUCUCAGUUCGGAUUGUACUCUGCAACUCGAGUGCAUGAAGGUGGAAUCGCUAGUAAUCGUAGAUCAGAACGCUACGGUGAAUACGUUCCCGGGCCUUGUACACACCGCCCGUCACACCAUG